AGAGAUAAAAAUAUUUCCCAAAUAGGAGACCCCCUGCUGAAAUUCUUGCCUUCUGUUCUGUGCUGUUGGUGCUGGAUGAUGGGCUUUGCAGUAGACACCCCUGGUUUCCCCGGGCAUUACAUGACCUUGAGCGUCAUCUGUGGUGUGUUAUUUGGCCGCUGUUCCCUUCUUCUGGCUCUGCUUUUGUCGUGUUAAAUUGCAAUUGCUCUACUCGCUGUCCUUUGUUGUCGCCGGGCGCUUGUAGCUGGAAUAUGUUAGUGGUAUGUAAUUAUUUGAACUGAAACUGUUGAGAUGGGAGCAGAGAAUUAACGUUUUUGGCUCCGGCAGGGAGACAGUCCAGGCUGCCCCUGCUAGCUCAUUCCUUGAGAACCGCCCUUUCAAGCGAUGACUUGACCUGUGGGAAGGGAAUCGUUGCUGGCAUUUUGCCCCAUCCAAUGCCCUGCGCCCCUUCAGGUCUUCUGGCUGGGUUGUCCACCAGCCUCCAUCAGGCAGCGCCGCCUGCCCAUUUACCCCACAGUUUGCCAGAUAGUUCUCAGCUACACAGCAAAGGGCCCAAUGUACAACCACGGAAAUUGUGACAGUUCUGAGAAAAGGAAAAGGAAAAUAAAAAGGACACAACCACCUCUGGGGGGGGAAAAAGCCUGCAGAAUGCAGCAAGGGAGCUCUCCCGUUGCUUCCUUGCUCUUCCUCCUUCAGUGGCAUCCACACUUCCCCU
Molecule: long non-coding RNA, 715 nt
Filed under: Notechis scutatus (mainland tiger snake)
Lineage: Eukaryota; Metazoa; Chordata; Lepidosauria; Squamata; Elapidae
Description: lncRNA (ENSNSUG00000019819.1)
Source: RNAcentral